UCGGGAAUAUUGCGCAAUGGAGGAAACUCUGACGCAGUGACGCCGCGUGCAGGAAGAAGGUUUUAGGAUUGUAAACUGCUUUAGACAGGGAAGAAAAAAAUGACAGUACCUGUAGAAUAAGCUCCGGCUAACUACGUGCCAGCAGCCGCGGUAAUACGUAGGGAGCGAGCGUUAUCCGGAAUUAUUGGGUGUAAAGGGUGCGUAGACGGGAAUGUAAGUUAGUUGUGAAAUCCCUCGGCUUAACUGAGGAACUGCAACUAAAACUACAUUUCUUGAGUGCAGGAGAGGAAAGUGGAAUUCCUAGUGUAGCGGUGAAAUGCUUAGAUAUCACGAAGAACUCCAAUUGCGAAGGCAGCUUGCUGGACUGUAACUGACGCUGAUGCUCGAAAGUGUGGGUAUCAAACA
Molecule: ribosomal RNA, 405 nt
Filed under: uncultured bacterium
Lineage: Bacteria
Description: bacterial SSU rRNA
Rfam family: Bacterial small subunit ribosomal RNA
Source: RNAcentral